Molecule: unclassified non-coding RNA, 259 nt
Filed under: uncultured fungus
Lineage: Eukaryota; Fungi
Description: partial contains 5.8S ribosomal RNA, internal transcribed spacer 2, and large subunit ribosomal RNA
Source: RNAcentral
AACGCACAUUGCGCCCCUUGGUAUUCCGGGGGGCAUGCCUGUCCGAGCGUCAUUAUCACCGCUCAAGCCCUGGCUUGCUGUUAGACCACGUCUCCCUCCGGGGCCGGCGGGCCUGAAAGACAGUGGUGGGCGUCGUGUCGACCCUGGAUGCAGCGAGCCUUCGUGCACGCAUCGGAGUGGUCGCGCGGCCUCGCCUCAACCGACGUAACGUCACCUCAAGGUUGACCUCGGAUCAGGUAGGGAUACCCGCUGAACUUAA